RNAcentral lists this ribosomal RNA (376 nucleotides) under uncultured organism. RNAcentral's name for it is "partial 16S ribosomal RNA". It matches the Rfam family "Bacterial small subunit ribosomal RNA", at positions 527 to 896 of the family's 1533-position model. The record is from RNAcentral.
GUAGGUGGCAAGCGUUGUCCGGAAUUAUUGGGCGUAAAGCGCGCGCAGGCGGUUCUUUAGGUCUGAUGUGAAAGCCCACGGCUCAACCGUGGAGGGUCAUUGGAAACUGGAGAACUUGAGUACAGAAGAGGAAAGCGGAAUUCCACGUGUAGCGGUGAAAUGCGUAGAGAUGUGGAGGAACACCAGUGGCGAAGGCGGCUUUCUGGUCUGUAACUGACGCUGAGGCGCGAAAGCGUGGGGAGCAAACAGGAUUAGAUACCCUGGUAGUCCACGCCGUAAACGAUGAGUGCUAAGUGUUAGGGGGGUUUUCCGCCCCCCUUAGUGCUGCAGCUAACGCAUUAAGCACUCCGCCCCGGGGAGUACGGCCGCAAGGCUG